UAGGGAAUCUUCCGCAAUGGACGAAAGUCUGACGGAGCAACGCCGCGUGAGUGAAGAAGGCCUUCGGGUCGUAAAACUCUGUUGCCGGGGAAGAACAAGUGCCGUUCGAACAGGGCGGCGCCUUGACGGUACCCGGCCAGAAAGCCACGGCUAACUACGUGCCAGCAGCCGCGGUAAUACGUAGGUGGCAAGCGUUGUCCGGAAUUAUUGGGCGUAAAGCGCGCGCAGGCGGCUUCUUAAGUCUGAUGUGAAAUCUUGCGGCUCAACCGCAAGCGGUCAUUGGAAACUGGGAGGCUUGAGUGCAGAAGAGGAGAGUGGAAUUCCACGUGUAGCGGUGAAAUGCGUAGAGAUGUGGAGGAACACCAGUGGCGAAGGCGGCUCUCUGGUCUGUAACUGACGCUGAGGCGCGAAAGCGUGGGGAGCAAACAGGAUUAGAUACCCUGGUAGUCCACGCCGUAAACGAUGAGUGCUAAGUGUUAGAGGGUUUCCGCCCUUUAGUGCUGCAGCUAACGCAUUAAGCACUCCGCCUGGGGAGUACGGCCGCAAGGCUG
RNAcentral lists this ribosomal RNA (551 nucleotides) under uncultured bacterium 4-13:1. Its description in RNAcentral is "bacterial SSU rRNA". It matches the Rfam family "Bacterial small subunit ribosomal RNA", at positions 355 to 896 of the family's 1533-position model. The record is from RNAcentral.